AAUAUUUAAUUUGCGUUGAAAAGCUAAAUCAAACGAUUUCCGUACGGAACUAACUUAAUUAAAUUAGUUUCGCACAAAAUGUGUCGGACAUUUUGAAUAUUUCAUUAUGAUUAAAAAUUAGAAUUUCUUAUGAAUCUUAAAUUAUGUAAUAAAUGGUUUAGAAAAGAUAAAAGAAAAUUUGUUUUUAGUAUUAUAUUGUGGCUAAUAAAGCGCUAAAAAGUCCCAUUUUAUAUACAGUCCAGUCAGUUGCAACAACAAUUAAAGCAGCAGGAAACAACCAAGUACACAUGCAAGUGACAAAGAGGAUUGCAAAAGUUUUAAAUAUCAGAAACUGAAGAAGGAAUUGAUAAUUAGCAGAUAACAAAAAAGCGCAAAAGUACUGAUUAUACAACUCUUUUAAAGUUGAGGAAGAAUUUUAUGUGGAAUGUUAAUGCAAAAGGUACGAAUAUUGUCAGUUAAACCAUCACCACCUCCACAGCCACCUUAUCUUAAGCAUUCAAUUGCAUUCUAAGUUAUCUUUAUUCAAAUCAAGUGUGACUACUAUACCAAAAGACUGUAGAAUGGACCAAUCAACUAACCCAUCAGUACUUGCAAAGUCUUCUUUUCUGUAAGCCCGAAAUUUGAGUUCUAAAAUACCAUUAUCCACAUAACUACUAUAUCAAAGCACAAACUAAUGGAUUGAUCAAAGUUUUAAAGAAAAGUUCUCUAUCAAUUAUUACAAUAGUUAUUCAAGAGAUUGUAUGACUUCGGUAUCCGCAAUACGGUAUCGUGCAUUGAUUCCCAUCUUAGAAUGGCUCACUUCCGUAUAGGUGGAAAUAGGAAAGGUUAUGUCCUUUUUUCCAAUUCUUAAAACGAAGAGGCUUAAUCGGUUCAAACAAAGAUGACAAUGAUGAUUAUGGAGCCGAUCAUAAUGAGGAAUACGAUAAUGCAUAUAAUAAUAAAUAAAAUGAUUUUACUUGUAUAUUAAACUUAUUUAAAUAAAAAAUUAUUUGUUUAA
Molecule: long non-coding RNA, 997 nt
Organism: Hydra vulgaris (swiftwater hydra)
Lineage: Eukaryota; Metazoa; Cnidaria; Hydrozoa; Anthoathecata; Hydridae
Source: RefSeq, a predicted model, not a curated record